AUUGAACGCUGGCGGCGUGCCUAACACAUGCAAGUCGUGCGUGAAAGGGCUUCGGCCUGAGUAAAGCGGCGCACGGGUGAGUAACGCGUGGAUGAUCUGCCCAUGAGUUGGGAAUAACGGCUGGAAACGGUCGCUAAUACCGAAUACGCUCCGAUUUCGCAUUUCGGGGGAAAGGUGGCCUCCGCUUGCAAGCUACCGCUCAUGGAUGAGUCCGCGUCCCAUUAGCUAGUUGGCGGGGUAAUGGCCCACCAAGGCGACGAUGGGUAGCCGACCUGAGAGGGUGAUCGGCCACACUGGGACUGGAACACGGCCCAGACUCCUACGGGAGGCAGCAGUGGGGAAUAUUGCGCAAUGGGCGAAAGCCUGACGCAGCGACGCCGCGUGAGGGAUGAAGG
Molecule: ribosomal RNA, 395 nt
Filed under: uncultured bacterium
Lineage: Bacteria
Description: bacterial SSU rRNA
Rfam family: Bacterial small subunit ribosomal RNA
Source: RNAcentral